UUCCUGAAUUACCUCCGUGCUGGGAAGGGAAGCUCCACACACACAGCCCAGCAAAGAGCAGAACAAAGCCAAGAGAACAACUCCAAGGAGAGAACUAGAGAUGGACCUUAUCCCUGAAUUUGCCACAGAGACCUGGGUCCUUCUGGCUACCAGCCUGGUGCUGCUGUACCUGUUUGGUACCCAUUCCCAUGGACUUUUUAAGAAGUUGGGAAUUCCUGGGCCCACGCCUCUCCCUAUUCUAGGAAAUGUUCUCUCUUACCGCAAGGGAUUCUGGAAAUUUGAUGAAGAAUGUUACAAAAAGUAUGGAAAAACGUGGGGGUUGUAUGAUGGUCGACAGCCUCUGCUGGCUAUCACAGACCCUGAAAUGAUCAAAACAGUGCUAGUGAAAGAAUGUUAUUCUGCCUUCACAAACCGGCGGCCUUUUGGUCCAGUGGGAUUUAUGAAAAGUGCCAUCUCUAUAUCUGAAGACGAGGAAUGGAAGAGAAUAAGAGCAUUGCUGUCUCCAACCUUUACCAGUGGAAAACUGAAGGAGAUGUUCCCCAUCAUGAGCCAGUAUGCAGAUGUGCUGGUGAGAAACCUGAGGCAGGAGGCAGACAAAGGCAAGACCAUCACCUUGAAAGACGUCUUUGGAGCUUACAGCAUGGAUGUGAUCACGGGCACAUCAUUUGGAGUGAACGUUGAUUCUCUCAACAACCCACAAGAUCCCUUUGUGGAAAAGACCAAGAAACUCUUAAGAUUUGAUUUCUUAGAUCCACUCUUUCUCUCGAUAAUACUCUUUCCAUUCCUUACUCCAGUUUUUGAAGCAUUAAAUAUCUCUAUGUUUCCAAAAGAUGUUACAAAUUUUUUAAAAAACUCUGUACAAAAGAUGAAAGAAAGUCGCCUCCACGAUAAACAAAAGCUUUCUUCCCUUUCAGUUCUGUCUGAUCUGGAGCUUGUGGCCCAGUCAAUUAUCUUCAUUUUUGCUGGCUAUGAGACCACUAGCAGUGUUCUUUCCUUCAUUAUGUAUGAACUGGCUACUCACCCUGAUGUCCAGCAGAAACUCCAGGAUGAGAUUGAUGCGGCUUUGCCCAAUAAGACACCCGCCACCUAUGAUGCCCUGGCACAGAUGGAGUGUCUUGACAUGGUAGUGAAUGAAACUCUCAGAUUAUUCCCAAUUGCUGGAAGACUUGAGAGGGUCUGUAAGAAAGAUGUUGAAAUCAAGGGAGUACUCAUUCCCAAAGGAACAGUUGUGAUGGUACCAACCUAUGCCCUUCACCGAGACCCAAAGUACUGGACAGAGCCUGAGGAGUUCCACCCUGAAAGGUUCAGCAAGAAGAACAAGGACAGCAUAGAUCCUUACACAUAUAUGCCCUUUGGAUCUGGGCCCCGAAACUGCAUUGGCAUGAGGUUUGCUCUGGUGAACAUGAAACUUGCUCUCGUCAGAGUCUUGCAGAACUUCUCCUUUAAGCCUUGUAAGGAAACACAGAUUCCCAUGAAAUUAAGCCCAAAAGGAAUGCUUCAGCCAGAAAAACCCAUUGUUCUAAAGAUUGAGUCAAGAGAUGGGACCAUACAUGGAGCCUGACUUUCCCUAAUGAGAUCUGCCCUGUUGUUCUGGAAAACUACAUCUAAGAACACUAGAGAACCUGAUUUACAUUGUAAAGAAAACUCAGAAAUGAAGAAGAGCUUAACUCAGGGCACUGGAGGAAUGACUGCGGAUUCUGUACAUUCAUUGUGUUGCCUCAAUGUCUGUGAAAGACUGUCAUGUGAUAUAAAGGAGGUGACUAAACUAAUGCCAUAUAUGUGGACUCUGCUUCUCUGAUUCUCAUAGGGCAACCUCCACCCACCUCUAGUUAGUACUGUUAACUCCUGCUUAGCUCUGAUAAGAAAAUAAACAUUUCUCAACAUUUUAGCAAGAA
Molecule: RNA transcript, 1895 nt
Organism: Otolemur garnettii (small-eared galago)
Lineage: Eukaryota; Metazoa; Chordata; Mammalia; Primates; Galagidae
Gene name: cytochrome P450 3A4-like
Exons: 12
Source: RefSeq, a predicted model, not a curated record